RNAcentral lists this ribosomal RNA (818 nucleotides) under Rhizophagus irregularis DAOM 181602=DAOM 197198. RNAcentral's name for it is "eukaryotic LSU rRNA". It matches the Rfam family "Eukaryotic large subunit ribosomal RNA", at positions 1 to 668 of the family's 3401-position model. Lineage: Eukaryota; Fungi; Glomeromycota; Glomeromycetes; Glomerales; Glomeraceae. The record is from RNAcentral.
GACCUCAAAUCAGGUAGGAACACCCGCUGAACUUAAGCAUAUCAAUAAGCGGAGGAAAAGAAAAUAACAAUGAUUCCCCUAGUAACUGCGAGUGAAGAGGGACAAGCUCAAAUUUUAAAUCUAUCGGGUUUUACCUGAUCGAGUUGUAAUUUGAAGAAGCGUUUUCUGCGUAUUUGGUCAGCCUAAGUCCUAUUGAAUGAGGCAUCAUGGAGGGUGAUAAUCCCGUCCGGUUGAUCAUUUGCGUUUUACGAUACGCUUUCUAAGAGUCAAGUUGUUUGGGAUUGCAGCUUAAAAUGGGAGGUAAAUUUCUCCUAAGGCUAAAUAACGGCGAGAGACCGAUAGCGAACAAGUACCGUGAGGGAAAGAUGAAAAGAACUUUGAAAAGAGAGUUAAACAGUACGUGAAAUUGUUGAAAGGGAAACGAUUGAAGCCAGUCGUACCUUCGGGUAAUCAGCCUUUCGGGUGCGAUUCUGUGGAGUGUGAGGAGCUUAAACACCUUCAUGUUUUGCAUAUUCGUACUCUUGGGUGUACUUGCCCGUGUGGUUGGUUAACAUCAAUUUUGGUGGUCAUAAAAUGACUGGGGGAAUGUAGCUUCGAUCUUGUAUUGAAGUGUUAUAGCCUUCGGUAGAUGUGAUGAUCGAGAUUGAGGAUUGCAACGGAUACCCUUUGGGGCUACCUGUCUGAUCUCUGAUCGUUGCUUUGGUGCCGAAAGCUUGCUUACGGUUAUCAAAGUCGAUGGUCAAUAGGUUAGAACGGGUUAAAUUCGUUAAGGAUGUUGACGUAAUGGUUUUAAACGACCCGUCUUGAAACACGGACCA